RNAcentral lists this ribosomal RNA (379 nucleotides) under uncultured eukaryote. Its description in RNAcentral is "partial 18S ribosomal RNA". It matches the Rfam family "Eukaryotic small subunit ribosomal RNA", at positions 592 to 976 of the family's 1831-position model. The record is from RNAcentral.
CAAUAGCGUAUAUUUAAGUUGUUGCAGUUAAAAAGCUCGUAGUUGGAUUUUGGGUCGGGGGCACCGGUCCGCCGUUCCGGUGUGCACUGGUGGCCCCUUCCUUUCUGCCGGGGACGUGCGUCGCACUUAAUUGGGUGGCGUUCGGGGUCGGCGUUGUUACUUUGAAAAAAUUAGAGUGUUCAAAGCAAGCCAUCGCUCUGAAUACAUUAGCAUGGAAUAACAUGAUAGGACUCCGGUCUUAUUUUGUUGGUUUCCGAGACUGGAGUAAUGAUUAAGAGGGACAGUCGGGGGCAUCCGUAUUUCAUUGUCAGAGGUGAAAUUCUUGGAUUUAUGAAAGACGAACUUCUGCGAAAGCAUUUGCCAAGGAUGUUUUCAUUAA